Molecule: ribosomal RNA, 253 nt
Filed under: uncultured bacterium
Lineage: Bacteria
Description: partial 16S ribosomal RNA
Rfam family: Bacterial small subunit ribosomal RNA
Source: RNAcentral
UACGUAGGGUGCGAGCGUUAAUCGGAAUUACUGGGCGUAAAGCGUGCGCAGGCGGUUCGUUGUGUCUGUGGUGAAAGCCCCGGGCUUAACCUGGGAAUGGCCAUGGAAACUGGCGAGCUGGAGUGUGGCAGAGGGGGGUGGAAUUCCGCGUGUAGCAGUGAAAUGCGUAGAUAUCUGGAGGAAUACCGGUGGCGAAGGCGGCAUCCUGGACCGGCAUUGACGCUGAGGAGCGAAAGCUAGGGGAGCAAACGGG